Long non-coding RNA from Hordeum vulgare subsp. vulgare (domesticated barley), 2491 nucleotides. RefSeq lists it as uncharacterized. The transcript has 2 exons. The record is from RefSeq and is a predicted model, not a curated record. NCBI's taxonomy places the organism in Eukaryota, Viridiplantae, Streptophyta, Magnoliopsida, Poales, Poaceae.
CUGGCCUCUACCUGCCUCCCAUCGCCAUGGCCUUUGAGGGCACGUACUAAUCUGUCCGAGGGGCUGCACCACAUGCUGCAGCGGAGGAGACUCUCCAUUGUCCCUCUUCCACUACCGGCAACACCUCCCCACCCUCUCUGUCGUACCAUGUACCCAAAUUUAGCUGCUGGAGCAACUACAGGUCCUACUAAAUCUCCUCUCUUUUGUUUGCAAGGCCAAGGCCAGGCAUUUAAAAGCAAACAAAAGCAGGGGCCUUGAAAAGCAAACAAAAGCAGGACCAGCAACUACAGGUCGUACUAAAUCUCCUCUCUAUUUGACUUUGACUAAAAAAUUAAUCUCGAGUAAUUGUGUACUCUCAGACUUGGUUGAAAACAAUCAACGAGCAAAUAGUGCAGUUACAUGAUCAGUUGUUUGAUCAGUCAAUAUGGAUUGUUUGCUGACUAAGUGUACCCUAACAUGAGCCAAUAGUGUACCUCACCUUCAGCACGUACUCAUUGUCUGAUGGCAAAAUUUUCAUCUCUAUAGUCCAGUUAAAUCAUUUCUAGAGGUGGCAAAUUCUAAAAUUUUAGCCUUGACUGAAGAUUUUAAACUUGUCAACAAAAAAGUAAAUUCAGAUUAGAUUUGAGCAAGAUAAACUGAAUCUCAUCAAACUAAUUCAGUGUAAAUCUAGAUUGUUGUAAAAUUAAUAGUGUAAAUGCAGAGCAAGAUUUUGUCAAACUGAAUCUUGCUCAACAAAUUUAGUGUAAAUCUAGUCUGAUUCUUGUGUGGUUUAUAUUCAUCAACACUAGUAGUACUCAUGCUUGUAGAAUGCUUAUAUGCAAGGUCUUAUACUAAAAAUAAUUUCAUACUAAAAACUUUGUAGAUUAUCUGUACAAUUCAGUAUAAUGAUUCAGUUAACCAGGGUUUAGUCCUAGUUGGGGCAAGUGCAAAAAUUACUGUCAAGAUGCGUGUAUUUUUCUUAUUGGUGCAAAAAAUCAGUUAAGCAAAUAGUUUUCUUUUCGUUGCGUGCAUGUUGUUCGUUGUUAUAAUGCUAUUCAUCUUAAAAUGAAAUCUGCAUUUGGUGGUGUCACUACUUGUCACAAUAGUACUCCAUGGUUCAGUUUUUCAUUCCCGGGAAGAUACCACAAACUAUAGAACAUAUCGACAAUAAUUAUCUCUCAUAGCACGAAGCUACGAGGAAGUUUCUGGUAACCAUGUACAGCGGCUAAAUAUCUGCAAUAUAUUCAGGCAGUCGAACUCCAAAAUAUUCUGAUUGCUUCUUUCCAAAAAAUGACUGAUCGACUGUUGUCUCCAAAAUAUCCUUUUGUGCUUUCUACUCGACUAGCAAUUUGCCAUGCCUGACCUAGAUAUUGAAUGAGGUUACACUUGGCACAUUCAAUUCAAGUCAAAUCGCCAACAAAUCAAUUGCUAAUUCUAUUUUUAUCAUCAACAACAACAUAGGCGGGCGGGGUAGACUUACCAUCACGAGCAGCAGUGGAGGCGGGGCAAGAAAAAAGGCAUCAUCAACAUCAAAGGUCCAUGGAGACGGCAUCGCCCACUAGCAGCAACAACAUGAGAUGUGGGAGUCGCUGGAAUUUUCCACGGCGCCGGUGGCUGAAGCGGAUGAAGUCUAGGCACAUGGGCGAUGAACGUGGGCGGCGAAGGUGGGCGGCGCAGGUAUUGGGGUUAGUCCGCCACGGGGCCCAACGGGGCAGGUACAGGAGGGCGGCGGCUGUGCGGGUUCACGUGGGCGGCGGCGCAGGUCCAGGUGCAUGCUAUACUUUCAGUCUAUUAGCAACCAAAUUCACUAAUAAUCUAUUGUUCUUGCCUAUACUAAUGGAAGUGAAUAUUUACACUAGGUUUGUGAAAAUUUAUAUUAGGACUGCGAAUAGUUUAGUGGCGAGUAGAUAGAUGAACCAGAGCAUUUAGUGAUUAAAUGGAAUAUAGAUGAAUCAAAUAGAGAGCACGUAGUAAAUGUAGGCAUGAUUUUUUUGGAGUUACGUGCAGAUAAUCCCAGCAUCUACUCAUUUUGACAACACACAAAUUUGAAAAAAAUUCUCAUUCCUAUGAUCCUCAAACAUAUGAGUGCUUUUUCACGGACAAAUGGCAGAAAGUAAGACCACAAGAUGAUCUAGGAUGUUCUUGUGAUCACUUUUGUUCAUAACAUGGUCAACACAUUUUGGUCAUAAGGAAGUUGAUGUUGACUUGGUGAACAUAGACUUGGUCCCUUACAUAAUAUCUUGUAGUAGUCAAGUGAAUGAAGAAUUGGUUUCUUAGGAACUUCGCCAUCAUAUUUUUUAACAUGCCACAUCCUAUAUGUCAGACUUGUGUAUUUCUUGAAUGGUUGUAGAUAACUUGAGUGAAGAAAACUGAUGUAUCUUCUAUAUAUGUUGAAUGAAUGCAUUAAACAAUGAUAUCUUGUGAUGAGUUGAAUAUUUUGUAUCGUGUACUUUAUAUGAAUUGAAUAUUAUGAAGUUAAUAUUGCGUUAAUACAUGGUGCAUUCGCAUGUGU